This 1686-nucleotide ribosomal RNA is filed under the name Striuntius lateristriga (spinner barb). Its description in RNAcentral is "16S rRNA". The stretch from base 93 to 1600 matches the Rfam family "Bacterial large subunit ribosomal RNA". Lineage: Eukaryota; Metazoa; Chordata; Actinopteri; Cypriniformes; Cyprinidae. The record is from RNAcentral.
GCCAAACAGCUAGCUUAAUUACCUCAUAACUUAAAAAUAUAAAUAAAACAAAAUAAACCCAACACCAAAAACUAAACCAUUCUUUUACCUGAGUAUGGGCGACAGAAAAGGUCCAACAAAGCAAUAGAGAUAGUACCGUAAGGGAAAGCUGAAAGAGAAAUGAAACAACCCAUAUAAGCACCAAAAAGCAAAGACUAAACCUUGUACCUUUUGCAUCAUGAUUUAGCCAGCACAUUCAAGCAAAGAGACCUUUAGUUUGAAAUCCCGAAACCAGAUGAGCUACCCCGAGACAGCCUACCAAGGGCUAACCCGUCUCUGUGGCAAAAGAGUGGGAAGAACUCCGGGUAGAAGUGACAGACCUACCGAACCUGGUGAUAGCUGGUUGCCUAAGAAAUGAAUAGAAGUUCAGCCUCAUCUACCUCUAACCAAACUAAUACCAAACAAGACAUAGAGAAACACAUGAGAGUUAGUUAAAGGGGGUACAGCCCCUUUAACAAAGGACACAACCUUUUCAGGAGGAUAAAGAUCAUAAUAUCUAAAACACACCGUUCUAGUGGGCCUAAAAGCAGCCACCUAAACAGAAAGCGUUAAAGCUCAGACAGAAAAAAGUUUAUUAUACUGAUAACUAAUCUUACUCCCCUAAACACUAUUAGGCCAACCCAUGCCAACAUGGAAGAGACUAUGCUAAAAUGAGUAACAAGAAGGCCAGCCCUUCUCCAAGCACAAGUGUAAGCCAAAUCGGACUAACCACUGGCAAUUAACGAACCCAACUCAAGAGGGCACUGUGAACUACAAAAAAAUCAAGAAAAACCCACAAUUAAACUAUCGUUACCCCCACACUGGAGUGCUAAUUUUUAAAGGAAAGACUAAAAGAAAUGGAAGGAACUCGGCAAACAAAAGCCUCGCCUGUUUACCAAAAACAUCGCCUCUUGCAAUACCAUUAAGUAUAAGAGGUCCAGCCUGCCCAGUGACCAAAAGUUCAACGGCCGCGGUAUUUUGACCGUGCAAAGGUAGCGCAAUCACUUGUCUUUUAAAUAAAGACCUGUAUGAAUGGCUAAACGAGGGCUUAACUGUCUCCCAUUUCAAGUCAGUAAAAUUGAUCUACCCGUGCAGAAGCGGGUAUAACCAUACAAGACGAGAAGACCCUUUGGAGCUUAAGGUAAAACUCAACCACGUCAAGCAACUGCCACAAGCAGCAGCAAACCUUGUGAUAAAUGAGAUUACACCUUCGGUUGGGGCGACCACGGAGAAAAAGAAAGCCUCCAAGUGGAGUGGGGCAAUCCCCUAAAACCAAGAGAGACAUCUCUAAGAUACAGAACAUCUGACCAUAAAUGAUCCGGCCACCUAAGACCGAUCAACGAACCAAGUUACCCUAGGGAUAACAGCGCAAUCCUCUCCCAGAGUCCAUAUCGACGAGAGGGUUUACGACCUCGAUGUUGGAUCAGGACAUCCUAAUGGUGCAGCCGCUAUUAAGGGUUCGUUUGUUCAACGAUUAAAGUCCUACGUGAUCUGAGUUCAGACCGGAGCAAUCCAGGUCAGUUUCUAUCUGUAACGCUACUUUUCCUAGUACGAAAGGAUCGGAAAAGAAGGGCCCAUGCUACAAGCACGCCCCACCCCUAAUUUAUGAAAACAAAUAAAUACAAAUAAAGGGAGAGCUAAAAUCCAAGCUAACCAAAAUAAGGACAU